GUGCCAGCCGCCGCGGUAAUACGUAGGUGGCGAGCGUUGUCCGGAAUUAUUGGGCGUAAAGGGAGCGCAGGCGGACAUAUAAGUCCAUCUUAAAAGUGCGGGGCUCAACCCCGUGAGGGGAUGGAAACUGUAUGCCUUGAGUGCAGGAGAGGAAAGCGGAAUUCCCAGUGUAGCGGUGAAAUGCGUAGAUAUUGGGAGGAACACCAGUGGCGAAGGCGGCUUUCUGGACUGUAACUGACGCUGAGGCUCGAAAGCCAGGGGAGCGAACGGGAUUAGAUACCCCGGUAGUCCUGGCCGUAAACGAUGAAUGCUAGGUGUAGGAGGUAUCGACCCCUCCUGUGCCGGAGUUAACGCAAUAAGCAUGCCGCCUGGGGAGUACGGUCGCAAGACUGAAACUUAAAUAAAUUGACGG
Molecule: ribosomal RNA, 412 nt
Filed under: uncultured Selenomonas sp.
Lineage: Bacteria; Bacillati; Bacillota; Negativicutes; Selenomonadales; Selenomonadaceae
Description: bacterial SSU rRNA
Rfam family: Bacterial small subunit ribosomal RNA
Source: RNAcentral